AGAGUUUGAUCCUGGCUCAGAUUGAACGCUGGCGGCAGGCCUAACACAUGCAAGUCGAGCGGUAACACAGAGGAGCUUGCUCCUUGGGUGACGAGCGGCGGACGGGUGAGUAAUGCCUGGGGAUCUGCCCGAUAGAGGGGGAUAACUACGGGAAACUGUAGCUAAUACCGCAUAAUGUCUACGGACCAAAGUGGGGGCUCUUCGGACCUCAUGCUAUCGGAUGAACCCAGGUGGGAUUAGCUAGUUGGUGAGGUAAUGGCUCACCAAGGCGACGAUCUCUAACUGGUUUGAGAGAAUGACCAGUCACACUGGAACUGAGACACGGUCCAGACUCCUACGGGAGGCAGCAGUGGGGAAUAUUGCACAAUGGGCGCAAGCCUGAUGCAGCCAUGCCGCGUGUGUGAAGAAGGCCUUCGGGUUGUAAAGCACUUUCAGCGGGGAGGAAGGGCCACUAGUUAAUACCUAGUGGCAUUGACGUUACUCGCAGAAGAAGCACCGGCUAACUCCGUGCCAGCAGCCGCGGUAAUACGGAGGGUGCAAGCGUUAAUCGGAAUUACUGGGCGUAAAGCGCACGCAGGCGGUUUGUUAAGUCAGAUGUGAAAUCCCCGAGCUCAACUUGGGAACUGCAUUUGAAACUGGCAAACUAGAGUCUUGUAGAGGGGGGUAGAAUUCCAAGUGUAGCGGUGAAAUGCGUAGAGAUUAGGAAGAACACCAGUGGCGAAGGCGACUCUCUGGACUGUAACUGACGCUGAGGCUCGAAAGCGUGGGGAGCAAACAGGAUUAGAUACCCUGGUAGUCCACGCCGUAAACGAUGAAAUACUAGGUGUUGGAGGGUUUCCGCCCUUCAGUGCCGCAGCUAACGCAUUAAGCACUCCGCCUGGGGAGUACGACCGCAAGGUUGAAACUCAAAGGAAUUGACGGGGGCCCGCACAAGCGGUGGAGCAUGUGGUUUAAUUCGAAGCAACGCGAAGAACCUUACCAGGUCUUGACAUCCUUUGACCACUCUAGAGAUAGAGCUUUCCCUUCGGGGACAAAGUGACAGGUGGUGCAUGGUUGUCGUCAGCUCGUGUCGUGAGAUGUUGGGUUAAGUCCCGCAACGAGCGCAACCCUUAUUACUAGUUGCCAGCAUUUAGUUGGGCACUCUAGUGAGACUGCCGGUGACAAACCGGAGGAAGGUGGGGACGACGUCAAAUCAUCAUGCCCCUUAUGACCUGGGCUACACACGUGCUACAAUGGAUGGUACAACGAGUCGCCAACCCGCGAGGGUGCGCUAAUCUCUUAAAACCAUUCUCAGUUCGGAUUGCAGGCUGCAACUCGCCUGCAUGAAGUCGGAAUCGCUAGUAAUCGCGGAUCAGCACGCCGCGGUGAAUACGUUCCCGGGCCUUGCACUCACCGCCCGUCA
Molecule: ribosomal RNA, 1402 nt
Filed under: uncultured bacterium
Lineage: Bacteria
Description: partial 16S ribosomal RNA
Rfam family: Bacterial small subunit ribosomal RNA
Source: RNAcentral